GGGAAUGUGGUCUAGUGGUAUGUUACACUCUGACCUCACGUUUUCGGCCAUCAUUUUGCUAAUCUCGCCUCCAACUAGGUAUGAUUCUUCGUUUGGGAACUUUGUCUAGAAUCGAAGAGGCCAGGGGUUCGAUUCCCUUCAUUCCCC
Molecule: transfer RNA, 147 nt
Filed under: Talaromyces pinophilus
Lineage: Eukaryota; Fungi; Ascomycota; Eurotiomycetes; Eurotiales; Trichocomaceae
Description: tRNA-Und (NNN) (tRNA-Und-NNN-5-1)
Rfam family: tRNA
About the family: Transfer RNA (tRNA) molecules are approximately 80 nucleotides in length. Their secondary structure includes four short double-helical elements and three loops (D, anti-codon, and T loops). Further hydrogen bonds mediate the characteristic L-shaped molecular structure. tRNAs have two regions of fundamental functional importance: the anti-codon, which is responsible for specific mRNA codon recognition, and the 3' end, to which the tRNAs corresponding amino acid is attached (by aminoacyl-tRNA synthetases). tRNAs cope with the degeneracy of the genetic code in two manners: having more than one tRNA (with a specific anti-codon) for a particular amino acid; and 'wobble' base-pairing, i.e. permitting non-standard base-pairing at the 3rd anti-codon position.
Source: RNAcentral